GGGGUGCUAAUACAUGCAGUCGAGCGGACAGAUGGGAGCUUGCUCCCUGAUGUUAGCGGCGGACGGGUGAGUAACACGUGGGUAACCUGCCUGUAAGACUGGGAUAACUCCGGGAAACCGGGGCUAAUACCGGAUGGUUGUUUGAACCGCAUGGUUCAAACAUAAAAGGUGGCUUCGGCUACCACUUACAGAUGGACCCGCGGCGCAUUAGCUAGUUGGUGAGGUAACGGCUCACCAAGGCAACGAUGCGUAGCCGACCUGAGAGGGUGAUCGGCCACACUGGGACUGAGACACGGCCCAGACUCCUACGGGAGGCAGCAGUAGGGAAUCUUCCGCAAUGGACGAAAGUCUGACGGAGCAACGCCGCGUGAGUGAUGAAGGUUUUCGGAUCGUAAAGCUCUGUUGUUAGGGAAGAACAAGUACCGUUCGAAUAGGGCGGUACCUUGACGGUACCUAACCAGAAAGCCACGGCUAACUACGUGCCAGCAGCCGCGGUAAUACGUAGGUGGCAAGCGUUGUCCGGAAUUAUUGGGCGUAAAGGGCUCGCAGGCGGUUUCUUAAGUCUGAUGUGAAAGCCCCCGGCUCAACCGGGGAGGGUCAUUGGAAACUGGGGAACUUGAGUGCAGAAGAGGAGAGUGGAAUUCCACGUGUAGCGGUGAAAUGCGUAGAGAUGUGGAGGAACACCAGUGGCGAAGGCGACUCUCUGGGUCUGUAACUGACGCUUAGGAUUAUAAAGCGUGUGGGAGU
Molecule: ribosomal RNA, 747 nt
Filed under: Bacillus sp. HS-V2
Lineage: Bacteria; Bacillati; Bacillota; Bacilli; Caryophanales; Bacillaceae
Description: bacterial SSU rRNA
Rfam family: Bacterial small subunit ribosomal RNA
Source: RNAcentral